This 554-nucleotide ribosomal RNA is filed under the name uncultured bacterium. RNAcentral describes it as "bacterial SSU rRNA". It matches the Rfam family "Bacterial small subunit ribosomal RNA", at positions 24 to 573 of the family's 1533-position model. The record is from RNAcentral.
UCAGGACGAACGCUGGCGGCGGGCUUAACACAUGCAAGUCGAACGAGAACGCGUCCUUCGGGGCGCAAGUACAGUGGCGCACGGGUGAGUAACGCGUAGGCAACCUGCCCUCGAGUGGGGAAUAACUAUCGGAAACGGUAGCUAAUACCGCAUGAAGUCCUGAACUGCAUGGUUCAGGAUGAAAGUCUUCGGAUGCUCGGGGAUGGGCCUGCGUCGGAUUAUGCUUGUAGGUAGGGUAACAGCCUACCUAGGCUACGAUCCGUAGCUGGUCUGAGAGGACGAUCAGCCACACUGGCACUGAGACACGGGCCAGACUUCUACGGAAGGCAGCAGUGGGGAAUCUUGGGCAAUGGGCGAAAGCCUGACCCAGCCACGCCGCGUGGAGGAAGACACCCCUACCGGGCGUAAACUCCUUUUUUACGGGAAGAAGACCUUCCUCGGGAAGGUUUGACGGUACCGUACGAAUAAGCACCGGGCUAACUCCGUGCCAGCAGCCGCCGGUAAUACGGAGGGUGCAAGCGUUGUCCGGAUUCCCUGGGUGUAAAGGGUGUGUA